RNAcentral lists this ribosomal RNA (468 nucleotides) under uncultured bacterium. Its description in RNAcentral is "partial 16S ribosomal RNA". It matches the Rfam family "Bacterial small subunit ribosomal RNA", at positions 28 to 507 of the family's 1533-position model. The record is from RNAcentral.
GACGAACGCUGGCGGCGUGCUUAACACAUGCAAGUCGAACGGAAAGGCUCUGCUUUUGUGGGGUGCUCGAGUGGCGAACGGGUGAGUAACACGUGAGUAACCUGCCCUUGACUUUGGGAUAACUUCAGGCAACUGGGGCUAAUACCGGAUAGGAGCUCCUGCUGCAUGGUGGGGGUUGGAAAGUUUCGGCGGUUGGGGAUGGACUCGCGGCUUAUCAGCUUGUUGGUGGGGUAGUGGCUUACCAAGGCUUUGACGGGUAGCCGGCCUGAGAGGGUGACCGGCCACAUUGGGACUGAGAUACGGCCCAGACUCCUACGGGAGGCAGCAGUGGGGAAUAUUGCACAAUGGGCGGAAGCCUGAUGCAGCAACGCCGCGUGCGGGAUGACGGCCUUCGGGUUGUAAACCGCUUUCGCCUGUGACGAAGCGUGAGUGACGGUAAUGGGUAAAGAAGCACCGGCUAACUACGUG